Molecule: transfer RNA, 73 nt
Filed under: Daphnia galeata
Lineage: Eukaryota; Metazoa; Arthropoda; Branchiopoda; Diplostraca; Daphniidae
Rfam family: tRNA
About the family: Transfer RNA (tRNA) molecules are approximately 80 nucleotides in length. Their secondary structure includes four short double-helical elements and three loops (D, anti-codon, and T loops).
Source: Rfam by way of RNAcentral
GGAUGUGUGGCCUAAUGGAUAUGGCGCCUGCCUUCGAAGCAGGAGAUUCCAGGUUCGAUCCCUGGCACGUUCA